RNAcentral lists this ribosomal RNA (464 nucleotides) under uncultured bacterium. Its description in RNAcentral is "partial 16S ribosomal RNA". It matches the Rfam family "Bacterial small subunit ribosomal RNA", at positions 28 to 507 of the family's 1533-position model. The record is from RNAcentral.
GACGAACGCUGGCGGCGUGCUUAACACAUGCAAGUCGAACGGUAAGGCCCUUUCGGGGGUACACGAGUGGCGAACGGGGGAGUAACACGUGGGUGAUCUGCCCUUCACUUUGGGAUAAGCCUGGGAAACUGGGUCUAAUACCGGAUAGGACUACGCGAUGCAUGUCGUGUGGUGGAAAGCUUUUGCGGUGUGGGAUGGGCCCGCGGCCUAUCAGCUUGUUGGUGGGGUGAUGGCCUACCAAGGCGACGACGGGUAGCCGGCCUGAGAGGGUGUCCGGCCACACUGGGACUGAGAUACGGCCCAGACUCCUACGGGAGGCAGCAGUGGGGAAUAUUGCACAAUGGGCGCAAGCCUGAUGCAGCGACGCCGCGUGGGGGAUGACGGCCUUCGGGUUGUAAACCCCUUUCAGCACAGACGAAGCGUAAGUGACGGUAUGUGCAGAAGAAGCACCGGCCAACUACGUG